This 70-nucleotide transfer RNA is filed under the name Dipodomys ordii (Ord's kangaroo rat). It matches the Rfam family "tRNA". From Rfam's summary of the family: Transfer RNA (tRNA) molecules are approximately 80 nucleotides in length. Their secondary structure includes four short double-helical elements and three loops (D, anti-codon, and T loops). Further hydrogen bonds mediate the characteristic L-shaped molecular structure. tRNAs have two regions of fundamental functional importance: the anti-codon, which is responsible for specific mRNA codon recognition, and the 3' end, to which the tRNAs corresponding amino acid is attached (by aminoacyl-tRNA synthetases). tRNAs cope with the degeneracy of the genetic code in two manners: having more than one tRNA (with a specific anti-codon) for a particular amino acid; and 'wobble' base-pairing, i.e. permitting non-standard base-pairing at the 3rd anti-codon position. The record is from Rfam by way of RNAcentral. Lineage: Eukaryota; Metazoa; Chordata; Mammalia; Rodentia; Heteromyidae.
GGGAAUGUGGCUUAGUGGUAGAGUGCUUGCCUUGCAUGCAUGAAGCCCUGGGUUCGAUUCCUCAGUACUA